This 254-nucleotide ribosomal RNA is filed under the name uncultured bacterium. RNAcentral describes it as "partial 16S ribosomal RNA". It matches the Rfam family "Bacterial small subunit ribosomal RNA", at positions 524 to 776 of the family's 1533-position model. The record is from RNAcentral.
CACGUAGGCACCAAGCGUUGUCCGGAUUUAUUGGGCGUAAAGAGCUCGUAGGCGGUUCGGUAAGUCGGGUGUGAAAACUUUGGGCUUAACCCAAAGCGUGCAUCCGAUACUGCUGUGACUUGAGUUCGGUAGGGGAGUGGGGAAUUCCUAGUGUAGCGGUGAAAUGCGCAGAUAUUAGGAGGAACACCGGUGGCGAAGGCGCCACUCUGGGCCGAAACUGACGCUGAGGAGCGAAAGCUAGGGGAGCAAACGGG